UCCGUUAUGGUGUAGUGGCCAACAUUAUCGCCUCUCAUCCCCUGAAAGCAUAUUUGUGAGCGCGAUAGCCCAGGGUUCGAUUCCCUGUAACGGAA
Non-coding RNA from Paramarasmius palmivorus, 95 nucleotides. NCBI's taxonomy places the organism in Eukaryota, Fungi, Basidiomycota, Agaricomycetes, Agaricales, Marasmiaceae. The record is from the annotation of a GenBank genome assembly.